Molecule: long non-coding RNA, 1182 nt
Organism: Triticum dicoccoides
Lineage: Eukaryota; Viridiplantae; Streptophyta; Magnoliopsida; Poales; Poaceae
Exons: 5
Source: RefSeq, a predicted model, not a curated record
AGCUCUUCUCCCCUUCUUUUCUGAGACGGGCACCACCGCAUGCGCCCGUCACUGGCUGCCUCGCAGCGGCGUACCGCCGCCAACCAUAGCUUAAGCGGAGGGAAGAUGUACGCCGCAGCUUCUCUCCCGACCUCUAUUGCCAAAUGGAUUUGGGGGAGCCUACACAGGCAAUUUUUCAUGGAGCUGAGAUAUAAUAGAGAUUGAGAUUUGGGGACUAUUCAUUAUAGGGAUUAGAGAUUGGAUUGUGAUCUUCUGGAAGUAUGUGGCAUGAGAGAGAUGAUGCUAGAUUCAAUAGAGCUCAUAUCCAUUGCCAAAUGAAGAAGUUCUUUUAAAAGGAUAUUCUACGGCAUGAGCAUAUCGCUUCCGAUUAGCUUGCGGCGGCCUGUUGUGCUAAGAUUCUCGCUGGAUCCGCUGAAUAUCUUGCGGCAAGGAGGGCACGCGGUGGCGCGGCCGGACGGAGAAGCCGGCACAGUUGAGCUGCCGCGAAGUGAACCAAGGAGCCGACGACCUGCAUGGAGCAGCGCGGCGCAACAAACACAAAGGAGCGGAAGACGGAUUCAUUAGUGCCGCAAGUAGCAGCGCAGGUCUUGGAGGCUUCUACAAUAUCGUAUCUUAGAAGAUUUUCUGAUUCAUUAACUCAUCUGUUGGGUUGUCGUGCCUGAUUCCAAUGUUGCCUUCAAAACAAUUUUAAAAGGAGUGGUUCAUAUGAUAAUGCACUAAUGAAAUUUGGUUAGAAAGAAGUGUUCUAACUAAUGGUCAAUGAAGAGGAAAACAUGGUGUUCAUAAGCAGGUUGUGAAGACAUGCAAGGGCGGAAAGAUCUAAACAGACCUCAAGAUUUCAGUUAUAUAUUACCCAAAAUUGAUGAUGUUUCUAUCGAUUUCUUCUUCCGUCGUUCGAUGUGUUGGGCGUCCUGCCGUAUGUCGCACCUUCGAUUCGUUCCUGGCGUGUGUCGAUAUGUCGUUGUGUGGAUCUCCCUUCUAUCCUCAUACACGUGUUGUUGGUUGCUCUGGCGUCUGUUAAUUCCCUGGAUGUUCUGGUGUGUGUGUCCCAACCUUUAUAUUAGUCCAAAUGUUGUUCAGUUUGAAUUGGACACGGAUGGGUGUCCGCUGAAAACUAUUCUGUGUGCAAUAGUAUACGUCCAUUCGUUGCCUAAUAUGUAUCAAUCCGUUUAGUUUCCUUCA